RNAcentral lists this ribosomal RNA (422 nucleotides) under uncultured bacterium. RNAcentral's name for it is "partial 16S ribosomal RNA". It matches the Rfam family "Bacterial small subunit ribosomal RNA", at positions 360 to 774 of the family's 1533-position model. The record is from RNAcentral.
AAUUUUGGACAAUGGGGGAAACCCUGAUCCAGCCAUCCCGCGUGUAUGAUGAAGUCCAUCGGGUAGUAAAGUACUUUUGGCAGAGAAGAAAAGGUACCUCCUAAUACGAGGUACUGCUGACGGUAUCUGCAGAAUAAGCACCGGCUAACUACUGGCCAGCAGCCGCGGUAAUACGUAGGGUGCAAGCGUUAAUCGGAAUAACUGGGCGUAAAGAGUGUGUAGGCGGUUCGGAAAGAAAGAUGUGAGAUCCCAGGGCUCAACCUUGGAGCUGCAUUUUUAACUGCCGAGCUAGAGUAUGUCAGAGGGGGGUAGAAUUCCACGUGUAGCAGUGAAAUGCGUAGAUAUGUGGAGGAAUACCGAUGGCGAAGGCAGCCCCCUGGGAUAAUACUGACGCUCAGACACGAAAGCGUGUGGAGCAAACA